AGAGUUUGAUCCUGGCUCAGAUUGAACGCUGGCGGCAUGCCUUACACAUGCAAGUCGAACGGCAGCACGGAGCUUGCUCUGGUGGCGAGUGGCGAACGGGUGAGUAAUAUAUCGGAACGUACCCUGGAGUGGGGGAUAACGUAGCGAAAGUUACGCUAAUACCGCAUACGAUCUAAGGAUGAAAGUGGGGGAUCGCAAGACCUCAUGCUCGUGGAGCGGCCGAUAUCUGAUUAGCUAGUUGGUAGGGUAAAAGCCUACCAAGGCAUCGAUCAGUAGCUGGUCUGAGAGGACGACCAGCCACACUGGAACUGAGACACGGUCCAGACUCCUACGGGAGGCAGCAGUGGGGAAUUUUGGACAAUGGGCGCAAGCCUGAUCCAGCAAUGCCGCGUGAGUGAAGAAGGCCUUCGGGUUGUAAAGCUCUUUUGUCAGGGAAGAAACGGUGGGAGCUAAUAUCUCCUGCUAAUGACGGUACCUGAAGAAUAAGCACCGGCUAACUACGUGCCAGCAGCCGCGGUAAUACGUAGGGUGCAAGCGUUAAUCGGAAUUA
Molecule: ribosomal RNA, 550 nt
Filed under: uncultured Janthinobacterium sp.
Lineage: Bacteria; Pseudomonadati; Pseudomonadota; Betaproteobacteria; Burkholderiales; Oxalobacteraceae
Description: bacterial SSU rRNA
Rfam family: Bacterial small subunit ribosomal RNA
Source: RNAcentral